Molecule: ribosomal RNA, 253 nt
Filed under: uncultured bacterium
Lineage: Bacteria
Description: partial 16S ribosomal RNA
Rfam family: Bacterial small subunit ribosomal RNA
Source: RNAcentral
UACGUAGGGGGCAAGCGUUGUCCGGAAUCAUUGGGCGUAAAGAGCGUGUAGGCGGCCCGAUAAGUCCGCUGUGAAAGUCCAGGGCUCAACCCUGGAAUGCCGGUGGAUACUGUCGGGCUCGAAUCCGGAAGAGGUGAGUGGAAUUCCUGGUGUAGCGGUGAAAUGCGCAGAUAUCAGGAGGAACACCCAUUGCGAAGGCAGCUCGCUGGGACGUUACUGACGCUGAGACGCGAAAGCGUGGGGAGCAAACAGG